GCUAUAUUAGCAUAUACAAUGCUUUAAGCUUAGAACUUAACUAAGUAGAUUACUUAAACUACAUUUAGUA
This 70-nucleotide transfer RNA is filed under the name Bemisia tabaci. Its description in RNAcentral is "tRNA-Leu". Lineage: Eukaryota; Metazoa; Arthropoda; Insecta; Hemiptera; Aleyrodidae. The record is from RNAcentral.